Molecule: ribosomal RNA, 821 nt
Filed under: uncultured bacterium
Lineage: Bacteria
Description: bacterial SSU rRNA
Rfam family: Bacterial small subunit ribosomal RNA
Source: RNAcentral
AGAGUUUGAUCAUGGCUCAGGAUGAACGCUAGCGGGAGGCUUAACACAUGCAAGUCGAGGGGUAACAGAGGUAGCAAUACUUGCUGACGACCGGCGUACGGGUGAGUAACGCGUAUGCAACCUGCCCUAUACAGGAGGAUAGCCCGAAGAAAUUCGGAUUAAUACUCCAUGCAGCAUAUUUUUCGCAUGAUAAAUAUGUUAAAGAUUUAUCGGUAUAGGAUGGGCAUGCGUCCCAUUAGUUAGUUGGUGAGGUAAUGGCUCACCAAGGCUUCGAUGGGUAUGGGGUCUAAAAGGAUGGUCCCACACACUGGCACUGAGACACGGGCCAGACUCCUACGGGAGGCAGCAGUGAGGAAUAUUGGUCAAUGGGCGAGAGCCUGAACCAGCCAUCCCGCGUGCAGGAUGACAGUCCUAGUGAUUGUAAACUGCUUUUCUAUAAGAUGAAUAAGGACUACGUGUAGUUCGAUGACCGUAUUAUAGGAAUAAGCAUCGGCUAACUCCGUGCCAGCAGCCGCGGUAAUACGGAGGAUGCAAGCGUUAUCCGGAUUUAUUAGGUUUAAAGGGUGCGUAGGUGGGCGUUUAAGUCAGUGGUUAAAGCCAAUAGCUUAACUAUUGUAUGCCAUUGAAACUGGAUGUCUUGAAUAGGGUAGAGGUAGGCGGAAUGUGUUGUGUAGCGGUGAAAUGCUUAGAUAUAACACAGAACACCGAUUGCGAAGGCAGCUUACUAUGCCUUUAUUGACACUGAUGCACGAAAGCGUGGGGAUCAAACAGGAUUAGAUACCCUGGUAGUCCACGCUGUAAACGAUGAUCACUCGUUUUUG